GAUGAACGCUGGCGGCGUGCUUAACACAUGCAAGUCGAACGGAAAGGCUCCUGCUUGCAGGGGUACUCGAGUGGCGAACGGGUGAGUAACACGUGGGUGAUCUGCCCUUCACUUCGGGAUAAGCCUUGGAAACUGGGUCUAAUACCGGAUAGGACGAUGGUUUGGAUGCCAUUGUGGAAAGUUUUUUCGGUGUGGGAUGAGCUCGCGGCCUAUCAGCUUGUUGGUGGGGUAAUGGCCUACCAAGGCGUCGACGGGUAGCCGGCCUGAGAGGGUGUACGGCCACAUUGGGACUGCGAGACGGACCAGACUCCUACGGGAGGCAGCAGUGGGGAAUAUUGCACAAUGGGCGCAAGCCUGAUGCAGCGACGCCGCGUGGGGGAUGACGGCCUUCGGGUUGUAAACUCCUUUCGCUAGGGACGAAGCGAAAGUGACGGUACCUGGAGAAGAAGCACCGGCUAACUACGUG
Molecule: ribosomal RNA, 466 nt
Filed under: uncultured bacterium
Lineage: Bacteria
Description: partial 16S ribosomal RNA
Rfam family: Bacterial small subunit ribosomal RNA
Source: RNAcentral